UACGGAGGGUGCAAGCGUUAUCCGGAUUCACUGGGUUUAAAGGGUGCGUAGGCGGAUAUGUAAGUCCGUGGUGAAAUCUCAAAGCUUAACUUUGAAACUGCCAUGGAUACUAUAUAUCUUGAAUGUUGUGGAGGUUUGCGGAAUAUGUCAUGUAGCGGUGAAAUGCUUAGAUAUGACAUAGAACACCGAUUGCGAAGGCAGCAGGCUACACAAAUAUUGACGCUGAGGCACGAAAGCGUGGGGAUCAAACAGG
RNAcentral lists this ribosomal RNA (253 nucleotides) under uncultured bacterium. RNAcentral describes it as "partial 16S ribosomal RNA". It matches the Rfam family "Bacterial small subunit ribosomal RNA", at positions 524 to 776 of the family's 1533-position model. The record is from RNAcentral.